Molecule: ribosomal RNA, 484 nt
Filed under: uncultured bacterium
Lineage: Bacteria
Description: partial 16S ribosomal RNA
Rfam family: Bacterial small subunit ribosomal RNA
Source: RNAcentral
AUUGAACGCUGGCGGCAGGCCUAACACAUGCAAGUCGAGCGGAUGAAGGGAGCUUGCUCCUGGAUUCAGCGGCGGACGGGUGAGUAAUGCCUAGGAAUCUGCCUGGUAGUGGGGGAUAACGUCCGGAAACGGGCGCUAAUACCGCAUACGUCCUGAGGGAGAAAGUGGGGGAUCUUCGGACCUCACGCUAUCAGAUGAGCCUAGGUCGGAUUAGCUAGUUGGUGGGGUAAAGGCCUACCAAGGCGACGAUCCGUAACUGGUCUGAGAGGAUGAGCAGUCACCCUGGAACUUGGACACGGUCCAGACUCCUACGGGAGGCAGCAGUGGGGAAUAUUGGACAAUGGGCGAAAGCCUGAUCCAGCCAUGCCGCGUGUGUGAAGAAGGUCUUCGGAUUGUAAAGCACUUUAAGUUGGGAGGAAGGGCAGUAAGUUAAUACCUUGCUGUUUUGACGUUACCAACAGAAUAAGCACCGGCUAACUUCGUG